Myotis davidii is the source of this 76-nucleotide non-coding RNA. Lineage: Eukaryota; Metazoa; Chordata; Mammalia; Chiroptera; Vespertilionidae. The record is from Rfam.
AGCAUUUCUCGGGUGAUGCAUCUCUGAAUUGGGCUCCCUCCUCUCUGGUUCCGGGGUGCGUCAUCCGAGAAUCGCC